This 2509-nucleotide long non-coding RNA is filed under the name Mus musculus (house mouse). RNAcentral describes it as "long non-coding RNA chr7:90201277-90203786". Lineage: Eukaryota; Metazoa; Chordata; Mammalia; Rodentia; Muridae. The record is from RNAcentral.
GUAGAAAAUGGUUGGUUGAUUUAGGUGCUGAGAAUACAGUCCAGUGGUCCAGCACUUGCCUAGCACUCUUAAUUGUGAAAGGAAGGAAAGAAGAGAGGGUUAGACAGAAGGAAUGGGUAGAACUAUUAGUAUCAGAAUGUAGAACUCUUAAAUUCCAACUACAUGAACUAGACAAAAGGGCAAUGGGUUCAUUAUUAUAGAACUGGAUUUGUUCUGUGUGUUCAUGGUUUCUCCCCCCCCCCCCCCCAAACCCAACAACAGUUAAUUACUUUCUGUUCCAGAGGGGUAAGGGGUGUGUGUAUGUGAGAGAGACAGACAGACAGACAGGCAGGUGUCAUGCACUGAAACAGCAGCAAAGCAUAUAACCUUUCAUAUUUCUAUAGGUUGGAUUAGUAUGUUUCUACACUAAUAAACAUUAGGUGUAAAAGUAAAUUUAAGAUGUUAAAUUUUAAAAUUAGAGACGUUCUAAUUUUCUCUUAUCUGAAUUUGGAGGCAAGUCUGUACAAAGGAUUUUAUCAACAAACACAUUUUAAUACAUUUUGGAAUGAUCAUAAUAUGUAAGUCCCUGGUGAUAACUGAAUAAGUGGUAAAAUAAUGUUGCCUUCACCUGAGGAACCUUAAGGUGAGUGCCAUUUGGAAGCACAAAUGAAUGAGUGGUAAAGUGAGCUUCUCUAAGAGGGAUCAUGGUACAGAUACAGCAGACAACCAAGAGCUACACAGAUGCAGGGGCUUCUGACGAGAGCCUCCGUAUGCAUAGGGGAAUGUGUGAUGGUCAGUGCUAAGUAGUGAAUGAGCUCAUUUGAAUUCCUGAUUUCUGCCAGGCAGGAUGCAGAGUAUUUACAGCCACUCAACCUUUAUGACUACCAUUUACCAUAAACAUUGGGUUUCAGGUAUUAAGGGCUUAAGUGCUCUAGAUCCCAGAUUAUAAAUGAGGCUGAAUCCAGUUCAAUUUGUCUUUCUAUAAAUACCUGGUGAGUCAUUCCAGAAGAAGCAAGGCCCAGUUUUCUCUUGAGUUCCUGUCUGUGUUUGUAGAAAAGUCUGUUUUUUUAGAAAAGAGUCUAUAAGAUUGACUCUUACUAUCCAGUCCUUUGAGUUACUGGAGAGUGUAAAUGUAAAGAUAUAAGGAAGUAUUUCCUUAGUUAUAGGCAUCUAUAUUUUUGUUUUUGUUAAUGUUUUGGUUUUAAUUUUGAGAAGGGGUCUCAAAAUAGCCUACUCAGUUUAUUUCGUACCUUAAACUUCUGAUCUUCUUGCCUUGAUUAUAGGCCAGUGUUGAUGAACCCAGAUUUUCCCUAAGAACUUAAGAACAAAGCUACUAAUAAUGUCUUAGAAAUUUUAUUUUCAUAAACUUUUUUUGUGGUGCUGGACAUGGAACCCAGAGUCUCCUUCAGGCUAAGUUUUCUGUCCCUGAGCUAUAGCUCUCUUAGUUAUUUGUAGAUUCUGAGACAGUUCCACUAAGUGUCUUGAUCUGGCCUGAAAAUUAGAAUUCUUGGGAGACUCUCUGGUUUACAAACUAGUCCCUCAGCUUCUCAUAAGGCUGUUGGAGCCUGGCUCGCUGAGCCUACUGCUAGUUUCUUGUUCUAACCUGCAGUUUUUAAUUUGGUAGUAAACAAGAAUAAGGAAACAACUAUUUUUAUUUUGUGAAGUUUAAUUUGUCAACUUCUUGAAGUAUAUUAUCAAGUGCGUUUUAAAAUAUUUUUCUUUUGUUAAUUUGUGAUUUCACUAUUCAGUCUCUACUGAGCGCAGUAUAACCAAAACAGGAAAAGAUAAACCAGACAGCUCUGCUCUAAAGCAAAGAGCUUUCUGGAAAUGUUGAUGGUUUUCUCAUUUUUGCAUGUAUUUUUAUUAAAAUGUAUUGUGCAUAUGUGUGCAUGGGGACGGAUAUAUGCUGGGGCAGAUGUAUGGAAGGCAGAGGAUCUCCUGAGGACAGCCUGGGGACAUUGGUUUUCUCUGCACCUGCGCAUGCAGCAUUCUGGGGUCAGUGCGCUUUCCGGGCACACAGCGGUGCUUUCUACUGCGAAGCCGCCUCACCGUUCCUGCUCCUCCACAGUGAUGCGCGUGCGUGGCAGGAGGAUUUCAGCCAGCAGCUACCACCAUUGAUUACUCAUAAAUCUCAGUAGUUUUCUGCAUAUGAUGUUCUUUGCAGUAUUUCAUUUUCCUGUUCUUUAAAAAAAGUAUGUCUGUGUUAGAUCAGUAAGGAGGUAUCUUUAAUUAUGAAAUAAGUCACUUUGAUUUGAGCUGACUCAUGACUAUAUUAACUCUUAGUACUGGAACCUCAAGUUAGAGAUUGUUAUUGGAAAUGUGGAUUGAGACAUUUUCUGUUGUAAUUUUGUUUGUUACACAUUUUUGUGAUGGUAUAUUUGUAAUAGUUAAUUAUUUUAUACCAGUUUAUAAAUUUGAUUUUAUGAUGAAUUUGACAAGUUGAGUUUUUAAAAAAUUCCUUUUCCUCCAAUAUAUUAACUUUGCGGUUUUGGUGUUCCUGGGCAAUUUUAAGCUAGGUUCUUUAAUUUAC